GACAAACGCUGGCGGCGUGCAUAAAACAUGCAAGUCGAACGGACUUCAGUCCGCAAGGACUGAAGUGAGUGGCGAACGGCUGAGUAACACGUAGGUGACCUGCCCCGAAGUUUGGGAUAACACCUCGAAAGAGGUGCUAAUACCGGAUGUGACCACCGAUUCAUUUCGGUGCUUAAAGUCGCAAGACGCUUUGGGAGGGG
RNAcentral lists this ribosomal RNA (200 nucleotides) under uncultured bacterium. RNAcentral's name for it is "partial 16S ribosomal RNA". It matches the Rfam family "Bacterial small subunit ribosomal RNA", at positions 28 to 229 of the family's 1533-position model. The record is from RNAcentral.